Molecule: long non-coding RNA, 462 nt
Filed under: Pan troglodytes (chimpanzee)
Lineage: Eukaryota; Metazoa; Chordata; Mammalia; Primates; Hominidae
Description: long non-coding RNA NONPTRT001767
Source: RNAcentral
GGCAGGAAGAGGAACACAAGUGACUGCUAAUGGAUAAGACAAGAGCUCACUCACUGGAGAGCAGUGGCAUGAUCACAGGUCACCGCAUCCUGGAAUUCCUGGGCUCAUGAGAUCCUCGCACCUCAGCUUCCCGAGUAGCUGGGACUACAAGGUGUUUAACACCAUACCGGCUAAUUUUUGUUUUUUGUUUUGUUUCGUUCGAUGAAGACGAACUCCUGGGUUCAUGCAAUCCUCCCACCUCGCUUCCCAAAGUGUUAAGAGUAUAGACGUGAUCCACUGACCCUGGCAAAACUAUUUUUUAAAAAAAGUGACAAUGGCUUAACACCUACAUUAGAUGACAAUAAAACCAGUGCAGAUGGUCAUGAAAAGCAAACAAAUUCAGGGAUUAUAGACUUUAUAACCAAGUAUAUCUACUGGUCUGUGAAAGGAGGAAAUGACAGAGUAUGAACAAUAAAAUACUAU